Molecule: ribosomal RNA, 166 nt
Filed under: Orobanche gracilis
Lineage: Eukaryota; Viridiplantae; Streptophyta; Magnoliopsida; Lamiales; Orobanchaceae
Description: 5.8S ribosomal RNA
Rfam family: 5.8S ribosomal RNA
About the family: 5.8S ribosomal RNA (5.8S rRNA) is a component of the large subunit of the eukaryotic ribosome. It is transcribed by RNA polymerase I as part of the 45S precursor that also contains 18S and 28S rRNA.
Source: RNAcentral
AAAUGACUCUCGGCAACGGAUAUCUCGGCUCUCGUAUCGAUGAAGAACGUAGCGAAAUGCGAUACUUGGUGUGAAUUGCAGAAUCCCGUGAACCAUCGAGUCUUUGAACGCAAGUUGCGCCUGAAGCCUUUCUGGCUAAGGGCACGUCUGCCUGGGCGUCACACAU